UAUUUAUGCUAUGCCAAGGUAUGUGAAAAUUAAGGACAGAUCCUAUGCUGACCUGAUAAACAAAGAUAGCUCUUUCGAGCUCAAUGUACAUUGAGUGUAACAAGAGGGAAGGAGGGAGGAAACCACUGCCCAUUUGGGAUUCCUUCAAAUUCACAUCUCUCCAAAAUGGGAGACUUGUAUUUUCUGACAUUCAACUUAAUCGAAGAAUAAAGCUUUAACAGUGGCAUCAGUGACAUGAUGAAUGAUGCAUCAUUUUGAAGUAAUAAUGGUUUUCCCAGUGACUCAGAAAUAGCAGUAUGUUCAGAUUCAGUGUGCCUGUUCAUGAGAGCUCUGCAGAAAUUGCACAUCUGGCUCUUUGCCUGUGCACCUGAAGUUAUCUCAGGAGAAAUUAUACAAAUUAAAUACAGACACAGAGAAGGUCUUUUUUAAUUCAAAGGAAAAGAAUAUAUAUUCAAGAAAAGCAAAAAAGGUGGAAGUUGGGCCUUUGGUCAUUAAUUCUCUCUCUCUCUCUUGCUAAUUUUUGCAAAUAGGGAGAACUUGGAACAUCUGCCAAAAUUUUUAUUUUGUGCUUUAUUUUGGCUACCUGUUUAUUCCAUAGAACUAUGACUUGUCCUGGUGAUUCAGGCUUACUCCUUAAUUUCUGAACUGAUUGCCAGAGAGUCAGGGAUAUACACAUACAUUAUAUAUACACACACACACACACACACACACACACACACACACACACACAUAUAUAUAUACACACACAUACAUAUAUAUAUAUACACACACAUACAUAUACAUAUAUGGGAGAUUAUAUCUAUAUCUAUAUCUAUGUCUAUCCCUCCCAUGUUAUUUCCUGCUUUUCUACUACUUGUUCCACUUUCCCCAGGUCUUUUGAAACUAAAAAUAAAAUUAUCACCUCACUGUAAGUAUCAUGUCUUCUGCUUCAGGGGUUGCACACUGCUUCAAGGUAGUAAUUGUUAAUUAUUCAAGACUGACUUCUUGUAAAGUAAUCUUCUAGAAAGACAGCUGGACUUUUAAGACUUCAUGAACUCUAAAGAUAUGGCAGGCCAGGAUCCAAGGCCAAAGGUAUAAUACCUCCAAAAGCUACGGUUAUGAGUCUUGGAAGUCAGCCCUUGGUUGUAUCAGAGGAAAUACAGUUCUCUCUAACCAUGAAUGCUGAAGAGGAAGAAUCAAGCUGGAGGCUAGGAUUAUGCCAUAUCAUACUGCUUUUGGAUCUCAGCACACAGGAUGCCAGGGGAGGGUAAUGUUCUUACCAUGAAGCUUGUCAUCAGAGGUCCAAAAGAAGAGAGCCACAAAAUGUGUACUGUUCAAUGUUGUGUGCACAUCUAGCAUGAAACAUCUUUUGCAUCAGUGACCAAUCUGAGUACUUACAUCUUAACUCUAAGGCACACACUAAAAUACAUAAUGCCUGGUUGUUCCUAGAUACUUACUUGGUAUAAAAUUUAAUUUUUUCUAAAAAUGAUCUUAUAUGGUAGCUUUUUUUUUUGAGACGGAGUUUCGCUCUUGUUGCCCAGGCUGGAGGGCAAUGGCAUGACCUCAGCUCACUGCAACCUCCAUCUCCCGGGUUCAAGCAAUUCUCCUGCUUCAGCCUCCAGAGUAGCUGGGAUCACAGGCGCCCAUCACCAUGCCCAGCUAAUUUUUUGUAUUUUUAGUAGAGACAGGGUUUCCCCAUGUUGGCCAGGCUGGUCUUGAACUCCUGACCUCAGGUGAUCCACCUGCCUCUGCCUCCCAAAGUUCUGGGAUUACAGGCGUGAGCCACCACGCCCGGUCAUAUGUAGCUCUUUACUGUCUUUACAGCAUGAUAGCUGCUUAAUACAUAUUCAAUAUUCAUUGAAUUAUAACAUUCACUGAAUUGCAAUAUUUUUUCUCAUUGUUCACUCUGUUUUCCGAUUUUUCACAUACCCAUCCACAUCCCCAAUGCUCACAACUAGCCGCAACAUGAAUACUUUAAAUCAAUGAAGUCCCUGAAAUAAAAAAUUAUGAAUAAUCAUUAUUUUUGUCGUUUUUGUCAUUGUUUACAUCUAGUGAGACAGAAUUCUUUAUUACCAAAUUCUGUUCACGUUAUAGCCACUUCCUUCUCUGAAACUUCAUUAUCACCAUUAUAGCUUCUGGUAUGAUCAGCUAAUCUCACCAUUACAAAAGUCACUUACCUGAUCCUCCUGAAAAGUGUCUUGACCUAACCCUAAUACAAAGCAUUAAUUUUUUAAGUUUUCUUUUAUGGGAAAUUAUUUACAUUUAAUUAUAACACACAUAUAGUAAAAUGUACAUAUCAUCAAUACACACUUCCACGAAGUUUAACAAAAUGAAUUAAUACAUAUAACCACCAUAGAUCAAAUAAAAUAUUUAAACUUUCAGAUAGCCAUACUAAUGGCCUAAAUGCAAAUCUCUCUGCAUAGUAUUUCAAAAACUGUAGAGAUGAACCGCAAGAACAAAAUGAACACACAUUCUACAUCUUCA
RNAcentral lists this long non-coding RNA (2463 nucleotides) under Homo sapiens (human). RNAcentral's name for it is "HSALNT0114328". Lineage: Eukaryota; Metazoa; Chordata; Mammalia; Primates; Hominidae. The record is from RNAcentral.